Fukomys damarensis (Damara mole-rat) is the source of this 1628-nucleotide long non-coding RNA. The record is from Ensembl. Lineage: Eukaryota; Metazoa; Chordata; Mammalia; Rodentia; Bathyergidae.
CUUUCUUUGAUCACUAACUCCUUCAAGACAUUGUAUUUUAUGCAGGUGGGAUAACGUUUCUGUCCUCAGAAUUGUUGAAAUUGAAAUGGCAUGAAAAGAAUAAAAAGGCUGAAUAAAAAAUGACCUCAGAAUGUGAUGAGUAUCUCAAGACACAUAUUCAGUAGGAUAAAAAUAGUUGUUUAAAUAAAAAGGACCCAAGUUCAAUCUCCGAUACCCCCCAAAAAAAAUAAAAAGAAAAGUACUACAAUAAAAGAUACACAACCAUUAAUCUUCCUCAAAGUAUUUUCUCAGACUUCUAACACACAUAUCCCUUCGUUCCUGCCACUUUCUGAGUUCUGGAAGUUCUCUUUUGUGCCUUUUGUGGCUGCCACGAUGUCCUGCACAAUUGAAAACAUUGUUAUUUAAAAGUUUAUGGCGAUUUUUAUCAAAUAAAGACACUUCAGCGCAUUCUCACCCAUUUGUUUACUGAAUCUGGCAUGAAGAAAUUUCUAGCUCUUCCCCCAAAUCCAAAUGACCAAGAAAGGGGAACGUGGAACCUGUUCAGGACACUGAGGCAGCCAUGAGUGUAGCUAAAAAUAUUCAUGAAAGAGGACUUCCAGAACUGCUUCAGAAAGUGGAAAGAAUGAUGCGAAAAUGUGUUUAAAAUAUGCUUGAGAUGAGUGCUUUGAGUGGCAUUGAUGGCAAUAUGUCUUCUACUGUAAUAAUUUUAAAAGUUUAAACAUUUGCUGUAGGGUCUUAAAAAACAUACUGUGCUAUGUGUUGACUCACAGAAGAGGAAGCAGACAUACCACUACAGUAGAUACACCCCUGAAGUUUCACUAUUUUAUUUUUAAAAUCAGCAACUUCACCUUCCUUUGUGAAUAGAGUGAACAAAAUUUCUUUAACUUCUGAAAGUACUCCUCACUACUUACCCAGGCUUGUUUUCCAGUGGCUGCAGACAGCACUUCCUCAACAGAAGAAUGAAGGCCACCUCUGCCCUUCUCCACAGGAUCCCGAGCGUGAGUGGUGUUGGCCCCUGGAGCCUGCUACAAAGGGCAAAUCCUUAGAACUGGAAGAGGAAAAACUACCCAGUGGAAAGUCAACAUUUGAAAUUUAAGACUGGAGCAUGAUUUGGACAAAGUAAGGAUGCCAAGUUGUAUCUGCCGAUACCACUGCUGUCACUCAGAAGCUUUCUCACACUCCUCCUCCAGCAGCAAAAAACAAAGUGUCUAAGCUCAGCCAAAGCAGGACCAAUGAUGACAUGGAGCGACAGAACUUUCAGUGCACAGGAGACGGUUUAGUUAGUUCUUGCACUGGAGCCCUAUAAGACACAUAUGGAGCAUUCAGUCUAUGAAUGAAGCAAGUGUGAUCUUCAGGGAGAGCUGGCCAAAGCGUUAAAGUGCAUGGAUUUCAGAUAAGUCAGUGUGAACAUGUGGCGCUGUGUGAAUAAAAUGUGAUAGUGCCUAUCAGAACGAGCCUACAUCAUAUUCUUACUGACACAUCAAGCAAAGCUUUCCGUUCUGAGCCUGCCUAUUGGAUUUUGUUCUCAAUUGUUUCAUGAUAACUUGCUCCUGAAUUUUAAAACCAAACACUCCUCAUUUUCUCAUCAGGAAAGAUUUAAAGAAAGCACCAUGCAUUUAAGAGUCCAC